GGCGAAAUGGCCGAGUGGUUAAGGCGCCAGACUAAGGAAUGGCGAUUUCCAAGGAAAUGAGGACCAAGACAGUCUCUGUCUAAUUGGAUUAUCUGGUCCGAAAGGGCGUGGGUUCGAGUCCCACUUUCGUCA
Non-coding RNA from Desarmillaria ectypa, 132 nucleotides. The record is from the annotation of a GenBank genome assembly. NCBI's taxonomy places the organism in Eukaryota, Fungi, Basidiomycota, Agaricomycetes, Agaricales, Physalacriaceae.